This 1429-nucleotide ribosomal RNA is filed under the name Staphylococcus aureus. RNAcentral describes it as "bacterial SSU rRNA". It matches the Rfam family "Bacterial small subunit ribosomal RNA". The record is from RNAcentral. Lineage: Bacteria; Bacillati; Bacillota; Bacilli; Caryophanales; Staphylococcaceae.
GCGAACGGACGAGAAGCUUGCUUCUCUGAUGUUAGCGGCGGACGGGUGAGUAACACGUGGAUAACCUACCUAUAAGACUGGGAUAACUUCGGGAAACCGGAGCUAAUACCGGAUAAUAUUUUGAACCGCAUGGUUCAAAAGUGAAAGACGGUCUUGCUGUCACUUAUAGAUGGAUCCGCGCUGCAUUAGCUAGUUGGUAAGGUAACGGCUUACCAAGGCAACGAUGCAUAGCCGACCUGAGAGGGUGAUCGGCCACACUGGAACUGAGACACGGUCCAGACUCCUACGGGAGGCAGCAGUAGGGAAUCUUCCGCAAUGGGCGAAAGCCUGACGGAGCAACGCCGCGUGAGUGAUGAAGGUCUUCGGAUCGUAAAACUCUGUUAUUAGGGAAGAACAUAUGUGUAAGUAACUGUGCACAUCUUGACGGUACCUAAUCAGAAAGCCACGGCUAACUACGUGCCAGCAGCCGCGGUAAUACGUAGGUGGCAAGCGUUAUCCGGAAUUAUUGGGCGUAAAGCGCGCGUAGGCGGUUUUUUAAGUCUGAUGUGAAAGCCCACGGCUCAACCGUGGAGGGUCAUUGGAAACUGGAAAACUUGAGUGCAGAAGAGGAAAGUGGAAUUCCAUGUGUAGCGGUGAAAUGCGCAGAGAUAUGGAGGAACACCAGUGGCGAAGGCGACUUUCUGGUCUGUAACUGACGCUGAUGUGCGAAAGCGUGGGGAUCAAACAGGAUUAGAUACCCUGGUAGUCCACGCCGUAAACGAUGAGUGCUAAGUGUUAGGGGGUUUCCGCCCCUUAGUGCUGCAGCUAACGCAUUAAGCACUCCGCCUGGGGAGUACGACCGCAAGGUUGAAACUCAAAGGAAUUGACGGGGACCCGCACAAGCGGUGGAGCAUGUGGUUUAAUUCGAAGCAACGCGAAGAACCUUACCAAAUCUUGACAUCCUUUGACAACUCUAGAGAUAGAGCCUUCCCCUUCGGGGGACAAAGUGACAGGUGGUGCAUGGUUGUCGUCAGCUCGUGUCGUGAGAUGUUGGGUUAAGUCCCGCAACGAGCGCAACCCUUAAGCUUAGUUGCCAUCAUUAAGUUGGGCACUCUAAGUUGACUGCCGGUGACAAACCGGAGGAAGGUGGGGAUGACGUCAAAUCAUCAUGCCCCUUAUGAUUUGGGCUACACACGUGCUACAAUGGACAAUACAAAGGGCAGCGAAACCGCGAGGUCAAGCAAAUCCCAUAAAGUUGUUCUCAGUUCGGAUUGUAGUCUGCAACUCGACUACAUGAAGCUGGAAUCGCUAGUAAUCGUAGAUCAGCAUGCUACGGUGAAUACGUUCCCGGGUCUUGUACACACCGCCCGUCACACCACGAGAGUUUGUAACACCCGAAGCCGGUGGAGUAACCUUUUAGGAGCUAGCCGUCGAAGGUGGGACAAAUGAU